GGUGGGGGCGGGACUUCUGGGGUCGGACCAUUGCUUCAUUGUACUGCCUUUAUGUCGGCACUUCGUGGAGGGACGUAGUUGCUGGGCUGUGGACAGCAUCCAGGAGGCUCCCCGCCCGCGGAAACGGGAGUAGGGUAGGUACGAGAACCUGGGAGGUCCAGCCGCUGUGCCUUGUACGCCCCAUGACCGCAGCGAACGUCCCGCCUCCCCGAGCUCGUGUGUCCUCGGCUGUCGGGGGACCGCCUGGCGCCGGGGUGCCUUGCGGUUAUCUCCGUCAAGGCCCGUCUGUGUCCGUGGCCGCCCCGGAGUCGUCGCCCUGUACGUUGUGUCCGCUUUACGGAGAAGAAGACCCAGGCUCAAAAGCCAGCCAUUCUGAGGUCUUGACCCAGCAUGUAGCUGGACUGCAGGCGUGAUAAGCGAGCCGAUCGACUAGGCACGGAUGAGGUAGAGUCUCCUGACCUCCACCUGGCUGGACUCCGAACCCCAGUGCCCCAAGUCCCUGACUCAGCCUCAGGCCUGGGUGUUCAGGACAGUGGAACGUUGACAGGUAAGGGGUCUCCCUUUAAGAAUCCAGUGUGAUAAAAUGUGGAGCGUGCAGGCGGAGGAAUGUGCAUGUGCGAAGACUCGGAGGUGAGACUGACCUGAGAGCAUUCAGGAAAGUUUUCCAGUCUCCGUUGGUAACCGAGGGCGUGAGGGUAGGAGUCCUACCUCUGUUGACGGGCUGAGGAUGCUGGGAGCCACAGAAAUUUUUCAUUAGAAGAUGGAUGGCCGUGAUCUGACUCAGGAUUUUGAAACUAUCCCAGUGGAUCCCGCGUAAACACACUGAGCAGCCUUGUGGGAGAGGGGUUGUGGUGGGGCUGAAAGCAGGCAGCUUCAUGAGGUUGCUGCUGCAGGUAUAUGUCGGGUGACCUGCGCAGAAUAGAAGCAGGAGAGGUGGGAGAGAUACUCAGAUUCUGGAUGUGUCUUUCAAAGUGGAGUUGAUGGGGCCUCCAGUUACACGUGGAGAGUGAACGUAGUGGAGGGUAAAGGACCACCCAAAGUGUUCAGAUAAAGAAUGAGAUGGAGAUCGGAGGUUGGCAGGAGGAGUACGUUUGGGGGAAGAUUAACAGUUGGAUUUUGUACGGGUAGAGACUGAGUUGUCUGGAGGCCUCUAGGUGGAGGUGACACAUGUGCCCGUGAACAGAUAGGGGAUUUUGAUUUGGCCUCCUGAUUUCCAGACUGCAGUGCACUGGUGGCCUGGACCAGGGAAGAUGCUGAGAAUGGGAUUUUGGAAGGAAACUCUUAGGUUGUUACAGAUAGGCCUUGAGGUGAGUGUGGGGUGUCCAGACUAAGGACCAGUAGCUGAGUAGAUGAGGUGGGUGCAGAAAAAGAGAAGCAUUGUCCAAACACCAAUGGACAUGGGGAGAGUGCGUACCCAGGAGGACGGCCCAUGCUCUCAGAUACGAAAGGGUGGUCAGGUGUGUCAGGGGACAGGGUUUGGGAGACAUAAGGGGAAGUGUGUGGCAGGACAGAGACUGGCGUGUCAGGUCCAGUGCCCGAUGCUUAGAGCACAUUCAUGUGCUCCUUGCCUGCUGUUGCAGGACCCAGUGACCUUUGAGGACAAGGUCGUGUGCCUUUUUUUCGGAAGAAGUGGGUCUCCUUAGUGAGGCCCAGUGGGGCUUCUGCUGUGAUAUGGUGCUGUCUUCACCAGGUCAGGCUGCCAGUUUCCCUGUGAGAGGUGCUGCUGGCCCUAGUGCUGUCCAAUGUUCUGCUACCUCUCCUCCCAGACUACUGUAUAAACAACCCCCAACACCUUUUGCCUUGGGACCUUGACAACUGUGGUCCAAGGUCAAAAAUAUCACAACCCGAGUAGCCGAUCACAUCCAGCUUGGUUAUUUUCUGGUCCGAUGAACCAGUCAGGGUCUGUGACUUUUUGGUCCCUCUAUCACACCUCCUCCAGUGGAAGUUUCCUGCCAGCUGCCCCUUGUCAGCGCCUUUACUGGCUUUAUGGGCACUAACAUGGCCAUUGAUUCAGGGGCCACUGAGCAUUUCUAGUGAGGCCUUCCCGGGGUGUUCAUUUUGUGAGGUUCAGUUCUCCCAGAUGCGUAAGUAAUCCCCAUCCACCUUGGUCUGUCAUGGGGUGAAUCAACCCUGACCUGGGGCUGGCUGACCUCUCACAAACGCCUUGAUCCCCCUUAAGAAUUACUGUCUCCACCCACCCCAGUGCGGUCACCCAACUUGAACAUCGAAAGGGGACCUGGCUGGUGGACAGGGUGGCUCGAAUCAGUUCAUGACCAGACACCCACGGAAGACCAGUCCUGGUGAGUGCAAGACAGGUGUGGAAGGGCCUGUGGCAGUGGGCUGAUCUCUUACCUGGUGCCUGACCUGUGUCUUCUGUUGCCCUGGCAUCAAUGUGAGCACCCAUGCCUCUUCUAUCUUUCUGACACCCCUUCCUAAUUUCCCCUGACUUCCUGUCCCCUGGCUAACCCCUCUUGGUCCUUUGCCUCUCAGCCUCUCUCUUUCUCCCCUCUUAUGGCCAGGUCCUCCAUCACUGGCCUCCCCUUCACAUAUCCUUAAAUAGUUCUUGAAAACCUGUUCUUCCAUGAACCUGACUUGUUCCCACUGAGGAAGGUGGGCACAGUGUCAGGGGUCCCAGGCCUGGACUCCGCUCACUGCACAGCACCUGUCUGUCACCAGACACUGAGGCCCUGCCAGCUCCCCAAACUGCAGAAUCCACAGAGAGCUGACACUGAAAGAGACACCUGAUCAAUGCACAGCAAAUGGAGAGGUGUUCAAGGAGAGGUGUUCCCUUUUCUACCACCAAAAAAAACCUUAAGAAUGGGAAAAAAAAUCCCAAGUGCAUUUUGAAGGCCUUCACCUUUGUCUCCAUCCUGAGAAAGCAGGAGUACAUUCACACCUUUGAAUGUUACAUGAGAAAGCCUCCAGCCAGACCUCUGUUUCCAUCGAGCACCAAAAUAUUUGCCCCAUAGAAAGCCCUUAUGAGGGCUUCCCUGGUGGCGCAGUGGUUGAGAAUCUGCCUGCCAAUGCAGGGGACACGGGUUCGAGCCCUGGUCUGGGAAGAUCCCACAUGCCGCGGAGCAACUAGGCCCGUGAGCCACAAUUACUGAGCCUGCGCGUCUGGAGCUUGUGCUCCGCAACAAGAGAGGCCGCGAUAGUGAGAGGCCCGCGCACCGCGAUGAAGAGUGGCCCCCGCUUGCCGCAACUAGAGAAAGCCCUCGCACAGAAACGAAGACCCAACACAGCCAUAAGUAAAUAAAUAAAUAAAAAUUACAAAAAAAAUGUCUCUGCUUAGGCUUACUAAAUACACUGAAAGGAAACACAAAAUCAAUGUUAGCU
RNAcentral lists this long non-coding RNA (3336 nucleotides) under Balaenoptera musculus (blue whale). RNAcentral's name for it is "lncRNA (ENSBMSG00010021167.1)". The record is from RNAcentral. Lineage: Eukaryota; Metazoa; Chordata; Mammalia; Artiodactyla; Balaenopteridae.